Molecule: unclassified non-coding RNA, 280 nt
Filed under: Hevea brasiliensis (rubber tree)
Lineage: Eukaryota; Viridiplantae; Streptophyta; Magnoliopsida; Malpighiales; Euphorbiaceae
Source: RNAcentral
UAACGAUGCAGUCUUCUUCGCCAGAACUUCCGAUUAGCAGACGUUUCUUCAAGGUUAUGGUGCCUGGUUUUCACUCUAAACUUACAAUUCCACCAGCUUUUUUUCCGAAGCUAAAAGGGGAUAAUUUAGAAAAGGGGACAAUAAUAAAGGGCAAAGAUAUAUGGAAUGUUGAAAUUAAUCGAUCCGAGAAGGGCACUAUCUCGUUUGAUAAGGGUUGGGAGGAAUUUGUGCAAAAUCAUGACCUAAGAGUUGGAGAUUUUGCUGUGUUUGAGCACUUGGG